GGGUUGUGAGGUUAAGCGACUAAGCGUACACGGUGGAUGCCCUGGCAGUCAGAGGCGAUGAAGGACGUGCUAAUCUGCGAUAAGCGUCGGUAAGGUGAUAUGAACCGUUAUAACCGGCGAUUUCCGAAUGGGGAAACCCAGUGUGAUUCGUCACACUAUCAUUAACUGAAUCCAUAGGUUAAUGAGGCGAACCGGGGGAACUGAAACAUCUAAGUACCCCGAGGAAAAGAAAUCAACCGAGAUUCCCCCAGUAGCGGCGAGCGAACGGGGAGGAGCCCAGAGCCUGAAUCAGUGUGUGUGUUAGUGGAAGCGUCUGGAAAGGCGCGCGAUACAGGGUGACAGCCCCGUACACAAAAAUGCACAUACUGUGAGCUCGAUGAGUAGGGCGGGACACGUGGUAUCCUGUCUGAAUAUGGGGGGACCAUCCUCCAAGGCUAAAUACUCCUGACUGACCGAUAGUGAACCAGUACCGUGAGGGAAAGGCGAAAAGAACCCCGGCGAGGGGAGUGAAAAAGAACCUGAAACCGUGUACGUACAAGCAGUGGGAGCCUCUUUAUGGGGUGACUGCGUACCUUUUGUAUAAUGGGUCAGCGACUUAUAUUCUGUAGCAAGGUUAACCGAAUAGGGGAGCCGAAGGGAAACCGAGUCUUAACUGGGCGUUAAGUUGCAGGGUAUAGACCCGAAACCCGGUGAUCUAGCCAUGGGCAGGUUGAAGGUUGGGUAACACUAACUGGAGGACCGAACCGACUAAUGUUGAAAAAUUAGCGGAUGACUUGUGGCUGGGGGUGAAAGGCCAAUCAAACCGGGAGAUAGCUGGUUCUCCCCGAAAGCUAUUUAGGUAGCGCCUCGUGAAUUCAUCUCCGGGGGUAGAGCACUGUUUCGGCAAGGGGGUCAUCCCGACUUACCAACCCGAUGCAAACUGCGAAUACCGGAGAAUGUUAUCACGGGAGACACACGGCGGGUGCUAACGUCCGUCGUGAAGAGGGAAACAACCCAGACCGCCAGCUAAGGUCCCAAAGUCAUGGUUAAGUGGGAAACGAUGUGGGAAGGCCCAGACAGCCAGGAUGUUGGCUUAGAAGCAGCCAUCAUUUAAAGAAAGCGUAAUAGCUCACUGGUCGAGUCGGCCUGCGCGGAAGAUGUAACGGGGCUAAACCAUGCACCGAAGCUGCGGCAGCGACACUAAGUGUUGUUGGGUAGGGGAGCGUUCUGUAAGCCUGUGAAGGUGUGCUGUGAGGCAUGCUGGAGGUAUCAGAAGUGCGAAUGCUGACAUAAGUAACGAUAAAGCGGGUGAAAAGCCCGCUCGCCGGAAGACCAAGGGUUCCUGUCCAACGUUAAUCGGGGCAGGGUGAGUCGACCCCUAAGGCGAGGCCGAAAGGCGUAGUCGAUGGGAAACAGGUUAAUAUUCCUGUACUUGGUGUUACUGCGAAGGGGGGACGGAGAAGGCUAUGUUGGCCGGGCGACGGUUGUCCCGGUUUAAGCGUGUAGGCUGGUUUUCCAGGCAAAUCCGGAAAAUCAAGGCUGAGGCGUGAUGACGAGGCACUACGGUGCUGAAGCAACAAAUGCCCUGCUUCCAGGAAAAGCCUCUAAGCAUCAGGUAACAUCAAAUCGUACCCCAAACCGACACAGGUGGUCAGGUAGAGAAUACCAAGGCGCUUGAGAGAACUCGGGUGAAGGAACUAGGCAAAAUGGUGCCGUAACUUCGGGAGAAGGCACGCUGAUAUGUAGGUGAAGCGACUUGCUCGUGGAGCUGAAAUCAGUCGAAGAUACCAGCUGGCUGCAACUGUUUAUUAAAAACACAGCACUGUGCAAACACGAAAGUGGACGUAUACGGUGUGACGCCUGCCCGGUGCCGGAAGGUUAAUUGAUGGGGUUAGCGGUAACGCGAAGCUCUUGAUCGAAGCCCCGGUAAACGGCGGCCGUAACUAUAACGGUCCUAAGGUAGCGAAAUUCCUUGUCGGGUAAGUUCCGACCUGCACGAAUGGCGUAAUGAUGGCCAGGCUGUCUCCACCCGAGACUCAGUGAAAUUGAACUCGCUGUGAAGAUGCAGUGUACCCGCGGCAAGACGGAAAGACCCCGUGAACCUUUACUAUAGCUUGACACUGAACAUUGAGCCUUGAUGUGUAGGAUAGGUGGGAGGCUUUGAAGUGUGGACGCCAGUCUGCAUGGAGCCGACCUUGAAAUACCACCCUUUAAUGUUUGAUGUUCUAACGUUGGCCCCUUAUCGGGGUUGCGGACAGUGUCUGGUGGGUAGUUUGACUGGGGCGGUCUCCUCCUAAAGAGUAACGGAGGAGCACGAAGGUUGGCUAAUCCUGGUCGGACAUCAGGAGGUUAGUGCAAUGGCAUAAGCCAGCUUGACUGCGAGCGUGACGGCGCGAGCAGGUGCGAAAGCAGGUCAUAGUGAUCCGGUGGUUCUGAAUGGAAGGGCCAUCGCUCAACGGAUAAAAGGUACUCCGGGGAUAACAGGCUGAUACCGCCCAAGAGUUCAUAUCGACGGCGGUGUUUGGCACCUCGAUGUCGGCUCAUCACAUCCUGGGGCUGAAGUAGGUCCCAAGGGUAUGGCUGUUCGCCAUUUAAAGUGGUACGCGAGCUGGGUUUAGAACGUCGUGAGACAGUUCGGUCCCUAUCUGCCGUGGGCGCUGGAGAACUGAGGGGGGCUGCUCCUAGUACGAGAGGACCGGAGUGGACGCAUCACUGGUGUUCGGGUUGUCAUGCCAAUGGCACUGCCCGGUAGCUAAAUGCGGAAGAGAUAAGUGCUGAAAGCAUCUAAGCACGAAACUUGCCCCGAGAUGAGUUCUCCCUGACCCUUUAAGGGUCCUGAAGGAACGUUGAAGACGACGACGUUGAUAGGCCGGGUGUGUAAGCGCAGCGAUGCGUUGAGCUAACCGGUACUAAUGAACCGUGAGGCUUAACCUUACAACGCCGAAGGUGUUU
Molecule: ribosomal RNA, 2931 nt
Filed under: Escherichia coli
Lineage: Bacteria; Pseudomonadati; Pseudomonadota; Gammaproteobacteria; Enterobacterales; Enterobacteriaceae
Description: 23S ribosomal RNA
Rfam family: Bacterial large subunit ribosomal RNA
Source: RNAcentral